UGGGGAAUAUUGCGCAAUGGGGGGAACCCUGACGCAGCAACGCCGCGUGCAGGAAGAAGGUCUUCGGAUUGUAAACUGUUGUCGCAAGGGAAGAAGACAGUGACGGUACCUUGUGAGAAAGUCACGGCUAACUACGUGCCAGCAGCCGCGGUAAUACGUAGGUGACAAGCGUUGUCCGGAUUUACUGGGUGUAAAGGGCGCGUAGGCGGGAUAGCAAGUCAGUCGUGAAAUGCCGAGGCUUAACCUCGGAGCUGCGAUUGAAACUGUUAUUCUUGAGUAUCGGAGAGGAAAGCGGAAUUCCUA
RNAcentral lists this ribosomal RNA (303 nucleotides) under uncultured bacterium. RNAcentral's name for it is "bacterial SSU rRNA". It matches the Rfam family "Bacterial small subunit ribosomal RNA", at positions 355 to 672 of the family's 1533-position model. The record is from RNAcentral.